CAAGUUUCAACCCCAACCCCCCUCAAUGGGUUCUCUCUCUCUCCGGCUUGUUUCCCCCUUCCUCUGGCGGUGGCUUCAAGGCCUUUUGGUCAGGAAGAAAAAUAUACAGGAAUGAACAAGGAUGUGCCUGCAUUCGCCAGUGGAAUGCUUGGGAAGGAUGCCAUGGCCAGAUGCUCAGAGAUCUCCUGAAUCUUUAAAAAAAAUUGAUAGAAUGUCUACCAUAAAUAACACUUUGGUAUCUGAUAAAGAGGAUUCAGACCAGGAAAGGUUAGGAGCUCCAGAAGACAGCCUUCCACCUUGGCCUAGAUGAUCAAGAGCUGGCACAAGCAAUGCAGACUAUCUGGACAAUGAAGCUUCACUUCAAUCAGAGCAAGCAGAUGCUGGAAAAAGACCUCUUUUCUUUGUACAGUAUGACAAUGGCAAGUUAGAUAUGAGCAGAGGUGUAUCUAACACUUUGUGCACUGAUUACCAGA
Long non-coding RNA from Sceloporus undulatus (fence lizard), 473 nucleotides. RefSeq lists it as uncharacterized. NCBI's taxonomy places the organism in Eukaryota, Metazoa, Chordata, Lepidosauria, Squamata, Phrynosomatidae. The transcript is spliced from 3 exons. The record is from RefSeq and is a predicted model, not a curated record.